GAAACGACACUAACAAUCCUUCGGGUGCGUUAAUGGGCGUCGAGCGGCGGACGGGUGAGUAAUGCUUAGGAAUCUGCCCAGUAGUGGGGGAUAGCCCGGGGAAACUCGGAUUAAUACCGCAUACGCCCUUUUGGGGAAAGCAGGGGAUCUUCGGACCUUGCGCUAUUGGAUGAGCCUAAGUCGGAUUAGCUAGUUGGUGGGGUAAAGGCUCACCAAGGCGACGAUCCGUAGCUGGUCUGAGAGGAUGAUC
RNAcentral lists this ribosomal RNA (250 nucleotides) under uncultured bacterium. RNAcentral describes it as "partial 16S ribosomal RNA". It matches the Rfam family "Bacterial small subunit ribosomal RNA", at positions 60 to 305 of the family's 1533-position model. The record is from RNAcentral.